This 197-nucleotide microRNA precursor is filed under the name Oryza barthii. RNAcentral's name for it is "MIR812 microRNA precursor family". It matches the Rfam family "MIR812 microRNA precursor family". Lineage: Eukaryota; Viridiplantae; Streptophyta; Magnoliopsida; Poales; Poaceae. The record is from Rfam by way of RNAcentral.
AAUAAGUGCAGUUUUGCACUAUUCACGUUCAACGUUUGACUGUUCGUCUUAUUUAAAAAUUUUUUAUGAUUAGUAUUUUUAUUGCUAUUAGAUGAUAAAAAAUGAAUAGUACUUUAUGUGUGACUAAAUAUUUUUAAAUUUUUCAAAUAAGACGGACGGUCAAAUGUUGGGCACGGAUAUCUACGGCUGCACUUAUU